RNAcentral lists this ribosomal RNA (432 nucleotides) under uncultured bacterium. Its description in RNAcentral is "partial 16S ribosomal RNA". It matches the Rfam family "Bacterial small subunit ribosomal RNA", at positions 29 to 506 of the family's 1533-position model. The record is from RNAcentral.
AACGAACGCUGGCGGCAUGCCUAACACAUGCAAGUCGAACGAGACCUUCGGGUCUAGUGGCGCACGGGUGCGUAACGCGUGGGAACCUGCCCUUAGGUUCGGAAUAACUCCCCGAAAGGGGUGCUAAUACCGGAUAAUGUCUUCGGACCAAAGAUUUAUCGCCUUUGGAUGGGCCCGCGUUGGAUUAGCUAGUUGGUAGGGUAAAAGCCUACCAAGGCGACGAUCCAUAGCUGGUCUGAGAGGAUGAUCAGCCACACUGGGACUGAGACACGGCCCAGACUCCUACGGGAGGCAGCAGUGGGGAAUAUUGGACAAUGGGCGAAAGCCUGAUCCAGCAAUGCCGCGUGAGUGAUGAAGGCCUUAGGGUGGUAAAGCUCUUUUACCCGGGAUGAUAAGGACAGGACCGGGAGAAUAAGCUCCGGCGAACUCCGU